AGAGUUUGAUCAUGGCUCAGAUUGAACGCUGGCGGCAGGCCUAACACAUGCAAGUCGAGCGGUAGCACAGAGAGCUUGCUCUCGGGUGACGAGCGGCGGACGGGUGAGUAAUGUCUGGGAAACUGCCUGAUGGAGGGGGAUAACUACUGGAAACGGUAGCUAAUACCGCAUAAUGUCGCAAGACCAAAGUGGGGGACCUUCGGGCCUCAUGCCAUCAGAUGUGCCCAGAUGGGAUUAGCUAGUAGGUGGGGUAACGGCUCACCUAGGCGACGAUCCCUAGCUGGUCUGAGAGGAUGACCAGCCACACUGGAACUGAGACACGGUCCAGACUCCUACGGGAGGCAGCAGUGGGGAAUAUUGCACAAUGGGCGCAAGCCUGAUGCAGCCAUGCCGCGUGUGUGAAGAAGGCCUUCGGGUUGUAAAGCACUUUCAGCGGGGAGGAAGGCGGUGAGGUUAAUAACCUCAUCGAUUGACGUUACCCGCAGAAGAAGCACCGGCUAACUCCGUGCCAGCAGCCGCGGUAAUACGGAGGGUGCAAGCGUUAAUCGGAAUUACUGGGCGUAAAGCGCACGCAGGCGGUCUGUCAAGUCGGAUGUGAAAUCCCCGGGCUCAACCUGGGAACUGCAUUCGAAACUGGCAGGCUAGAGUCUUGUAGAGGGGGGUAGAAUUCCAGGUGUAGCGGUGAAAUGCGUAGAGAUCUGGAGGAAUACCGGUGGCGAAGGCGGCCCCCUGGACAAAGACUGACGCUCAGGUGCGAAAGCGUGGGGAGCAAACAGGAUUAGAUACCCUGGUAGUCCACGCCGUAAACGAUGUCGAUUUGGAGGUUGUGCCCUUGAGGCGUGGCUUCCGGAGCUAACGCGUUAAAUCGACCGCCUGGGGAGUACGGCCGCAAGGUUAAAACUCAAAUGAAUUGACGGGGGCCCGCACAAGCGAUGGAGCAUGUGGUUUAAUUCGAUGCAACGCGAAGAACCUUACCUGGUCUUGACAUCCACAGAACUUUCCAGAGAUGGAUUGGUGCCUUCGGGAAC
RNAcentral lists this ribosomal RNA (1028 nucleotides) under Klebsiella pneumoniae. RNAcentral's name for it is "bacterial SSU rRNA". It matches the Rfam family "Bacterial small subunit ribosomal RNA", at positions 8 to 1027 of the family's 1533-position model. Lineage: Bacteria; Pseudomonadati; Pseudomonadota; Gammaproteobacteria; Enterobacterales; Enterobacteriaceae. The record is from RNAcentral.